This 525-nucleotide ribosomal RNA is filed under the name uncultured bacterium. Its description in RNAcentral is "bacterial SSU rRNA". It matches the Rfam family "Bacterial small subunit ribosomal RNA", at positions 984 to 1509 of the family's 1533-position model. The record is from RNAcentral.
ACAUCCAGAGAUUUAGCAGAGAUGCUUUAGUGCCUUCGGGAACUCUGAGACAGGUGCUGCAUGGCUGUCGUCAGCUCGUGUUGUGAAAUGUUGGGUUAAGUCCCGNAACGAGCGCAACCCUUAUCCUUUGUUGCCAGCACGUAAUGGUGGGAACUCAAAGGAGACUGCCGGUGAUAAACCGGAGGAAGGUGGGGAUGACGUCAAGUCAUCAUGGCCCUUACGAGUAGGGCUACACACGUGCUACAAUGGCGCAUACAAAGAGAAGCGACCUCGCGAGAGCAAGCGGACCUCAUAAAGUGCGUCGUAGUCCGGAUUGGAGUCUGCAACUCGACUCCAUGAAGUCGGAAUCGCUAGUAAUCGUAAAUCAGAAUGUUACGGUGAAUACGUUCCCGGGCCUUGUACACACCGCCCGUCACACCAUGGGAGUGGGUUGCAAAAGAAGUAGAUAGCUUAACCUUCGGGAGGGCGUUUACCACUUUGUGAUUCAUGACUGGGGUGAAGUCGUAACAAGGUAAGCGUAGUGCU